GGAGAAACCAGGAUGGGAACUCUCGGGCUGGAUUCUGAUCAGAGCUGCAUUUGUGGUUUGAAAGCCUCUGUGUUCCCCAAGGCAGUUGUGGCCUUGUACAACAGGAUGGCAGCUUCUGGAAAUUUUUGCUUGUGGACUAUGAUAGGUUGAUUCCAUUGAUAGUCCAAUAAUGCCCUCUGGGUUUCCAAGCCCUUUGCAGUGUGAUUUUACAGCUCCUCUAUUUAAGGGGUAGUAGAGUCUCCUCCUUACAUUUUUAAUCUGGACCUUAACUAAUAGAGUGCAACAGAAGUGAUGGUGGUCCUGCUCCAAGGCUAGGCCUCAGGAAGCCUUGCACAUCCCUACUCUUUUCUUUUGGAACCCCUCAUGACCAUGUGAACAAAUCUGAGCUAGCCUGCUGAAGACCAUGUGGAAAGACAACAGAUAUUCUAAUAGACCUUAUGAGAGACCAGCCAAGAUCAGAAGAGGUGUGCAUGCAAUCCACAGCUGCCUGAAGUCACGUUCUGCAUGCUGAUAAAAUGAUCAACACCUGCUGGUCUGAAGGGCUCAGCAAGAAACUGACUCAUGGAAGAAUGCACUUUCCAUAUUCUAAUGACUUCAUCCCCCUUACCCUGACCAAACGAUAACCCCAAUUUUCUAACCCCUUGCCCUCUCCAAUCCCCUGAAAGAUCCUUGCCCAGAACCCCUCAAUGAAAUGAAUUUGAGUCUCGAGAAUUCCUCCUGUUUCCUCAUUCAGUCAUCUUGCAAUUAUUAAACAACUUGUCUGCUGCA
RNAcentral lists this long non-coding RNA (768 nucleotides) under Homo sapiens (human). RNAcentral's name for it is "HSALNT0088614". The record is from RNAcentral. Lineage: Eukaryota; Metazoa; Chordata; Mammalia; Primates; Hominidae.